AUCUUUAACAGGUAUAUAGGGUACCUAGACGGUGUGCAAAGGCUUGUAAAUAAGUACCUGCUACACUUGAGUUUGAUAUGGGAGAGGAUUAUGUCGGAAUUUUUGGUGGAAAGAUGAAAUUUAUUGAUACCAAGAAGACUGGUAACGGCGAAGGCAAACCUCUAUGUACAAAAAAGGUAAAAAAAUAACUGAACACUAUUUUUAGUGCUUUUAUUUUUUUUUAGUGUAUUUAUUACACACCAACCAUUUUUUUAAACUGACGUUGAGGGACGAAGGCUCAGAUAGUGAAGAGGAUUAGAUACCCCCGUAGCCUGGGCAGACAAUGAUGAGUGCCAUAGAUUGGCCUUAGGUGGAACUAUAAAUGAAAGUGUAAGCACUCCACCUCAAGAGUAAUGUGGCAACGCAGGAACUGAAAUCAUUAGACCGUUUCUGAAACCAGUAGUGAAGUAUGUUAUUUAAUUCGAUGAUCCUCGAAUAACCUUACCACAAUUUGAAUGACCUAAAAUAUUUUUUAAGUUUUUAGACCACAUGCGUUGCAUGGCUGUCUUCAGUUAAUGUCGUGAGAUUUGGUUAGGUCCAUUAAAUUAACGUAAACCCUUGCUUUA
Molecule: ribosomal RNA, 605 nt
Filed under: Phoma sp. A537
Lineage: Eukaryota; Fungi; Ascomycota; Dothideomycetes; Pleosporales; Didymellaceae
Description: partial small subunit ribosomal RNA
Rfam family: Bacterial small subunit ribosomal RNA
Source: RNAcentral